This 310-nucleotide ribosomal RNA is filed under the name Pelobates cultripes (western spadefoot toad). It matches the Rfam family "Eukaryotic small subunit ribosomal RNA", at positions 221 to 470 of the family's 1831-position model. Lineage: Eukaryota; Metazoa; Chordata; Amphibia; Anura; Pelobatidae. The record is from RNAcentral.
AGGACUCCCAUGCGGAGUGGGCAUGCCGCAUCACAAGGGCCACCCAGAACUGGCUCAACUCCCAUGAAGCCAAGUUCCCGGAGGAGAUCACCCAGCUCGUCAUGCUACAACACUUUUUCAAUGGGCUCCACAACGCAUUCGUAUGUCAUCCCUAUCUACUUUCGAUGCCACUUUCUGCGCCUACCAUGGUGACAACGGGUAACAGGGAAUCAGGGUUCUAUUCCGGAGAGGGAGCCUGAGAAAUGGCUACCACAUGCAAGGAAGGCAGCAGGGGCGCAAAUGACCCACUCCCGACGCGGAAAGGUAGUGA